RNAcentral lists this transfer RNA (72 nucleotides) under Coemansia spiralis. Its description in RNAcentral is "tRNA-Gln". It matches the Rfam family "tRNA". From Rfam's summary of the family: Transfer RNA (tRNA) molecules are approximately 80 nucleotides in length. Their secondary structure includes four short double-helical elements and three loops (D, anti-codon, and T loops). Further hydrogen bonds mediate the characteristic L-shaped molecular structure. tRNAs have two regions of fundamental functional importance: the anti-codon, which is responsible for specific mRNA codon recognition, and the 3' end, to which the tRNAs corresponding amino acid is attached (by aminoacyl-tRNA synthetases). tRNAs cope with the degeneracy of the genetic code in two manners: having more than one tRNA (with a specific anti-codon) for a particular amino acid; and 'wobble' base-pairing, i.e. permitting non-standard base-pairing at the 3rd anti-codon position. Lineage: Eukaryota; Fungi; Kickxellomycota; Kickxellomycetes; Kickxellales; Kickxellaceae. The record is from RNAcentral.
GGACCUGUGGUGUAGUGGUGAUCACUCUGGAUUUUGAUUCCAGCAACCCGAGUUCGACUCUCGGCAGGUCCU